RNAcentral lists this ribosomal RNA (489 nucleotides) under Rathinda amor. Its description in RNAcentral is "partial 16S ribosomal RNA". Lineage: Eukaryota; Metazoa; Arthropoda; Insecta; Lepidoptera; Lycaenidae. The record is from RNAcentral.
AAAAACAUGUCUUUUUGAUAAAUAAUUUAAAGUUUAAUCUGCCCACUGAUAUAAUAUUAAAGGGCUGCAGUAUUUUGACUGUACAAAGGUAGCAUAAUCAUUAGUCUUUUAAUUGAAGACUUGUAUGAAAGAUUUGAUGAAAUAUAAACUGUCUCUAAUUUAAUUAUAGAAUUUAAUUUUUUAGUUAAAAAGCUAAAAUAUAUUUAAAAGACGAGAAGACCCUAUAGAGUUUUAUAAUUAACAAUUUAAAUUAUUUAUAUAAAAUUUUAAUAUUAUAAAUUAUUAAUUAUUGAAUUGGGGUGAUAAAAAAAUUUAUAAAACUUUUUUUAAAAUAAAACAUAGAUAAGUGAUUAAAAGAUCCAUUAAUAAUGAUUAAAAGAAAAAAUUACCUUAGGGAUAACAGCGUAAUAUUUUUUUUUAGUACAAAUAAAAAAAAAAGUUUGCGACCUCGAUGUUGGAUUAAGAUAAAAUUUAGAUGCAAAAGUUAAA